RNAcentral lists this ribosomal RNA (381 nucleotides) under uncultured archaeon. RNAcentral's name for it is "partial 16S ribosomal RNA". It matches the Rfam family "Archaeal small subunit ribosomal RNA", at positions 85 to 456 of the family's 1478-position model. The record is from RNAcentral.
ACCGCUCAUUAACACGUGAUCAACUUACCCUAUACACAAAAAUAACCUCGGCAAACUGAUGAUAAUAUUUCAUAAUUGAAUUGGCUUGUAAAAGUUUUUCAAUGAAAAGGAUAAAAAAAAUGGUUUUUAUCUGCUAUAGGAUAGGAUCGUGUUCGAUUAUGGUUGUUGGUGACAUAAUGGCUCACCAAACCGAUAAUCGAUAGGGGCCGUGAGAGCGGGACCCCCGAGAUGGAUACUGACACAACGACCCACGCCUUACCAGGCGCACCACGCGCGAAACCUCCACAAUACACCAAAGUGUGAUGGGGUUACCCACACUGUUCAAUACAACUGUGGUAGGUGACUAAUGUUCCCUACUAGAAAGGAGAGGGCAAGGCUGGU